This 774-nucleotide ribosomal RNA is filed under the name uncultured Neocallimastigales. RNAcentral's name for it is "partial large subunit ribosomal RNA". It matches the Rfam family "Eukaryotic large subunit ribosomal RNA", at positions 26 to 639 of the family's 3401-position model. The record is from RNAcentral. Lineage: Eukaryota; Fungi; Neocallimastigomycota; Neocallimastigomycetes; Neocallimastigales.
CGCAUCUGUGCAUGCAGCAUAUCAAUAAGCGGAGGAAAAGAAACUAACAAGGAUUCCCUUAGUAACGGCGAGUGAAGCGGGAAGAGCUCAAAUUUGAAAUCUUCAAGGUUUUACCUUGACGAAUUGUAGUUUAAAGAAGUGUUUUCUGUUGAAGUUUUGGUAAAAGCUCUUUGGAAUAGGACAUCAUAGAGGGUGAGAAUCCCGUAUUUGACCAUUAUUUUCAGCUGUGUGAUACACUUUCAAAGAGUCGGAUUGUUUGGGAAUGCAGUCCAAAAUGGGUGGUAAAUUUCAUCUAAAGCUAAAUAUUGGCGAGAGACCGAUAGCGAACAAGUACCGUGAGGGAAAGAUGAAAAGAACUUUGAAAAGAGAGUUAAACAGUACGUGAAAUUGUCAAAAGGGAAGCGUUUAACACCAGUGUUGUUUUCUCGAAAAUCAAUUAAAAAGAGUUUGAUUUUGUUGUGUAUUGACCUUAACAGCUUGCAUUUCAAUUUUCUUGCUUUUUUUAAUGCACUUUUCGUUUAACAAGUCAACAUCAGUUUCUUUUGUUGUAAAAAGGUCAUUGGAAGGUGGCUUUCUUUUCGGAGAAAGUGUUUAUAGCCUUUGACUCCUGCAAUCGGAGAGACUGAGGUCUGCAGCGUAGAUCCUUCGGGGUUAGAUACAUUUGUGCUAAGUUAUAGCUUUUUAUAGACAACUUGUUGACUAUGAUUAGUCUUGUAGCUUACUCGCUUAUGCUAUUUUACCUACGCUUAGGAUGUUGACGCGCGUGUGUGCGUG